RNAcentral lists this ribosomal RNA (865 nucleotides) under Botryotrichum domesticum. Its description in RNAcentral is "partial large subunit ribosomal RNA". It matches the Rfam family "Eukaryotic large subunit ribosomal RNA", at positions 49 to 947 of the family's 3401-position model. Lineage: Eukaryota; Fungi; Ascomycota; Sordariomycetes; Sordariales; Chaetomiaceae. The record is from RNAcentral.
AGCGGAGGAAAAGAAACCAACAGGGAUUGCCCCAGUAACGGCGAGUGAAGCGGCAACAGCUCAAAUUUGAAAUCUGGCUUCGGCCCGAGUUGUAAUUUGCAGAGGAAGCUUUUGGCGCGGCACCAUCUGAGUCCCCUGGAACGGGGCGCCACAGAGGGUGAGAGCCCCGUAUAGAUGGACGCCUAGCCUGUGUAAAGCUCCUUCGACGAGUCGAGUAGUUUGGGAAUGCUGCUCAAAAUGGGAGGUAAAUUUCUUCUAAAGCUAAAUACCGGCCAGAGACCGAUAGCGCACAAGUAGAGUGAUCGAAAGAUGAAAAGCACUUUGAAAAGAGGGUUAAAUAGCACGUGAAAUUGUUGAAAGGGAAGCGCUUGUGACCAGACUUGCGCCGGGCGGAUCAUCCGGUGUUCUCACCGGUGCACUCCGCCCGGCUCAGGCCAGCAUCGGUUCUCGUGGGGGGAUAAAGGCACCGGGAACGUAGCUCCUCCGGGAGUGUUAUAGCCCGGGGCGUAAUGCCCUCGCGGGGACCGAGGACCGCGCAUCUGCAAGGAUGCUGGCGUAAUGGUCAUCAGCGACCCGUCUUGAAACACGGACCAAGGAGUCAAGGUUUUGCGCGAGUGUUUGGGUGUAAAACCCGCACGCGUAAUGAAAGUGAACGUAGGUGAGAGCUUCGGCGCAUCAUCGACCGAUCCUGAUGUUUUCGGAUGGAUUUGAGUAGGAGCGUUAAGCCUUGGACCCGAAAGAUGGUGAACUAUGCUUGGAUAGGGUGAAGCCAGAGGAAACUCUGGUGGAGGCUCGCAGCGGUUCUGACGUGCAAAUCGAUCGUCAAAUCUGAGCAUGGGGGCGAAAGACUAAUCGAACCAUCUAG